This 73-nucleotide transfer RNA is filed under the name Apaloderma vittatum (bar-tailed trogon). It matches the Rfam family "tRNA". Rfam says of the family: Transfer RNA (tRNA) molecules are approximately 80 nucleotides in length. Their secondary structure includes four short double-helical elements and three loops (D, anti-codon, and T loops). Lineage: Eukaryota; Metazoa; Chordata; Aves; Trogoniformes; Trogonidae. The record is from Rfam by way of RNAcentral.
GGCCAGUUAGCUCAGUCAGUUAGAGCGUGGUGCUGAUAACACCAAGGUCACGGGUUUGAUCCCUAUUUGGUCC